UCUGGGGACCUGAGUCCCCCCUUUCCACGGAUUACUGGGUCCUAGCUGGACCGCAGGGCUUCACCGAGCGCGCCCAGGAGUCCGUACGUCUCCCGCAUCACCGCCCGGCACAGGGCCCUCUGCGCCGGCCGCAGACACCUCCACUCCUCCGAGGAGAAGUACACGGCCACGUCCGCGAAGCUCACGACUCCUGGGCUGUUUUCUCGCCCGGCCUCCCCGAGCGGCGCCCUAGGAAACCCCUUAAGUGCUACGCCAAGAGAGACUUCUGGAAUCCGUGGAAACGCUAGAGCUUUCCUAGCUCUCUUCUGAAAGGGUCCUUAAAGACCACGGCCCUGCCCUUAACCAACAUGGCGCCUCUCCGGCUUCAACCUCCCUUGCUUUCCCGGUCUGCCCUUAGAUACCAAGGGCAAAACCAGAAGAGAAGUUGGGCCUGCCGGGUCUGAAGCCGUAGAUGACGUGCGUUGAUUGGACAAUGCCGGCGUAGGGGAAGAAGGGAGACUAUGAUUGGUCGCUCCGGAGCGGCCUAUUUGAAAGGCUGACGGAGAAGAUCUGGCUUUUUCAGGACAGGACCUAAAAGAGUGGUGUUGACGUUGGAGGCUACUCCCUCUGCUUACACGAGACUUGUUACAAGCAGGUGCAGAUGUCCCGGGCUUGGAGGAAUGACUCCUGAUUAGCAGCAGACAGGACCAGGAACACAGCUUCCAAUGUGACCACAGCUACAGCUCCACAGAGACAACAUGGAGGGGCCCGAUGGAUGCUGGGCGCGCAGAGUUGCACUGCGGGGGAGGAGCAAUGAGCUUGAAGAGACUGCUAUUUUGUGGAAACUCCUGCCCGAACUUGGGUGAAAGGCACCGGAAGAUGCCUUCGGGGAAGAUGGCGGCGCUGCUACCGCACCGCCUUAGCCUGGAACACAGGCAGCUUCCAGCUAUCGAUUUUAUUGACCGGAGCGCCAUGCCGGCUUCCUAACCUCUUUGCCCUCAAGUGUGAUGGCGCUGCGAUUGGGCUUCACGCCUCUUUCCCCCCCAUUACACGCGCUCAUUGGGCGGCGACCGAAGAUCGGACUUUCUGAUUGGGUGCUGUCGAAAGCGGCCUGUUUGAACGAAGCCAACGGAAGCGUAAGGGCAGGAAGCCGACCCUUCAAGCCGGUGCUUCUGUCCGGUUUUGAGUCCGGCAGCUGCGAGCAGGUGACGGGUCCCUGUUCUCUGGCACGCGCUGCCUCGCCGAGGGAGGGAAGAAUUGGAGUGACGGAGCCACUUCGGCCAGCCCGGGGCAGAGAUUACUCCGGGUGACCUUCUGAGAGAACUGGAUAACUUUCUUGUUGCCCUUUUGGGAGGGAAAUUAACGUUGGCGUUUCCUGUGCGCAGGCACGUUCCCCUAUUAUUAUACAUUUCAUCUUAAUUAUUCUUUGCUGCUAUUGUAUGAACGCGUUGGUGGUCACCAUCCAAUUCUACCGAUGAGUAAAAUCUCAGAGGGAUGAUACUGCUAAUAAGGAGAACAGAGAUUCAAACCCGGGGCUUCAUUCAUACAGCUGAACAUGGCCCGCUGCCCUGCACUAUCCAAAUUCGCUGGUCAACUCAACAGUCAGAGUUACUGGACUGUUUUCAGGUUCAGUGUGAUGCACAUCUCCAUUCCUUAUUUUUACGUGACAUUUGUUUAUGCUCUGAAUGGACAUUAUAGCUGAGUGAGGCACAGAAAUUUACAAAUAAUAACUGAGUCCUGCAAGCAUGUAUGUGAAAGGCAUAGGAAAAUUGCUCAUGGAACCAGUCAGCUCCCACUCCAUCAGUCACUACUUCUGUGUAAGUGUCGUGGGGGGUUUCACCAGUUCAGGGUCAUCUCCCAGGGCAUCUGAGGGCCAGAGAAUAUGCCAUUUGCUACAUACCUCAACUGGUGAUACACACAUCUGUCUCUUCAACCCACUAAUCAAUUUGUUAAAGCACCUAUUAAGGAUGAAAUGCUACCCCAGAGCUGACAAGGCGUGAUGGCGUUUCAGGAAUUCACAAGGUAACAUUGUGAGGUAGUAAGACUUUCUUUUUUCUUUUUAAAAAUUUUUAAUGUUUAUUUAUU
This is a long non-coding RNA of Suricata suricatta (meerkat), 2064 nucleotides long. RefSeq lists it as uncharacterized. NCBI's taxonomy places the organism in Eukaryota, Metazoa, Chordata, Mammalia, Carnivora, Herpestidae. The record is from RefSeq and is a predicted model, not a curated record. The transcript has 4 exons.